AUUGAACGCUGGCGGCAUGCCUUACACAUGCAAGUCGAACGGCAGCACGGGAUCAAUCCUGGUGGCGAGUGGCGAACGGGUGAGUAAAGUAUCGGAACGUGCCCAGUCGUGGGGGAUAACGUAGCGAAAGUUACGCUAAUACCGCAUACGAUCUAUGGAUGAAAGCGGGGGAUCGCAAGACCUCGCGCGAUUGGAGCGGCCGAUAUCAGAUUAGGUAGUUGGUGGGGUAAAGGCUCACCAAGCCGACGAUCUGUAGCUGGUCUGAGAGGACGACCAGCCACACUGGGACUGAGACACGGCCCAGACUCCUACGGGGGGCAGCAGUGGGGAAUUUUGGACAAUGGGCGAAAGCCUGAUCCAGCCAUGCCGCGUGCAGGAUGAAGGCCUUCGGGUUGUAAACUGCUUUUGUACGGAACGAAAAGGUUUGGGCUAAUAAGCUGAGCUCAUGACGGUACCGUAAGAAUAAGCACCGGCUAACUACAUGCCAGCAGCCGCCGUAA
RNAcentral lists this ribosomal RNA (500 nucleotides) under uncultured bacterium. RNAcentral's name for it is "partial 16S ribosomal RNA". It matches the Rfam family "Bacterial small subunit ribosomal RNA", at positions 30 to 523 of the family's 1533-position model. The record is from RNAcentral.